AGAGUUUGAUUAUGGCUCAGGAUGAACGCUGGCGGCGUGCUUAACACAUGCAAGUCGAACGGAGAUUACUUUUAGCUUGCUAAGUUGUAAUCUUAGUGGCGGACGGGUGAGUAACGCGUGGGUAACCUGCCUUAUCCAGGGGGAUAACAGUUAGAAAUGACUGCUAAUACCGCAUAAGCGCACAGUUUCGCAUGAAACAGUGUGAAAAGAUUUAUCGGGAUAAGAUGGACCCGCGUCUGAUUAGCUAGUUGGUGAGGUAACGGCCCACCAAGGCGACGAUCAGUAGCCGGCCUGAGAGGGUGAACGGCCACAUUGGGACUGAGACACGGCCCAAACUCCUACGGGAGGCAGCAGUGGGGAAUAUUGCACAAUGGGGGAAACCCUGAUGCAAGCGACGCCGCGUGAGUGAAGAAGUAUUUCGGUAUGUAAAGCUCUAUCAGCAGGGAAGAAAAUGACGGUACCUGACUAAGAAGCCCCGGCUAACUACGUGCCAGCAGCCGC
Molecule: ribosomal RNA, 501 nt
Filed under: uncultured bacterium
Lineage: Bacteria
Description: bacterial SSU rRNA
Rfam family: Bacterial small subunit ribosomal RNA
Source: RNAcentral